UCGCGGCCUAUCAGCUUGUUGGCGGGGUAACGGCCCACCAAGGCGACGACGGGUAGCUGGUCUGAGAGGACGGCCAGCCACACUGGGACUGAGACACGGCCCAGACUCCUACGGGAGGCAGCAGUGGGGAAUCUUGCGCAAUGGGCGAAAGCCUGACGCAGCGACGCCGCGUGGGGGAUGAAGGCCCUCGGGUUGUAAACCCCUUUCGGCAGGGACGAAGCGAAAGUGACGGUACCUGCAGAAGAAGCUCCGGCUAACUACGUGCCAGCAGCCGCGGUAAGACGUAGGGAGCGAGCGUUGUCCGGAUUCAUUGGGCGUAAAGAGCGCGUAGGCGGCCGUGCAAGUCGGUUGUGAAAUCCCGGGGCUCAACCCCGGGACUGCGUCCGAUACUGCACGGCUCGAGGCAGGUAGGGGAGAGUGGAAUUCCCGGUGUAGCGGUGAAAUGCGCAGAUAUCGGGAGGAACACCGGUGGCGAAGGCGGCUCUCUGGACCUGUCCUGACGCUCAGGCGCGAAAGCUAGGGGAGCGAACAGGAUUAGAUACCCUGGUAGUCCUAGCCGUAAACGUUGGGCGCUAGGUGUGGGGAGAUAUCGACCCUCUCCGUGCCGAAGCUAACGCAUUAAGCGCCCCGCCUGGGGAGUACGGAAGCUUGGAAUUCGCCC
RNAcentral lists this ribosomal RNA (661 nucleotides) under uncultured Actinocatenispora sp. Its description in RNAcentral is "bacterial SSU rRNA". It matches the Rfam family "Bacterial small subunit ribosomal RNA", at positions 231 to 906 of the family's 1533-position model. Lineage: Bacteria; Bacillati; Actinomycetota; Actinomycetes; Micromonosporales; Micromonosporaceae. The record is from RNAcentral.